RNAcentral lists this transfer RNA (87 nucleotides) under Bacteroidota bacterium. RNAcentral's name for it is "Bacteroidetes bacterium tRNA-Leu". It matches the Rfam family "tRNA". From Rfam's summary of the family: Transfer RNA (tRNA) molecules are approximately 80 nucleotides in length. Their secondary structure includes four short double-helical elements and three loops (D, anti-codon, and T loops). Further hydrogen bonds mediate the characteristic L-shaped molecular structure. tRNAs have two regions of fundamental functional importance: the anti-codon, which is responsible for specific mRNA codon recognition, and the 3' end, to which the tRNAs corresponding amino acid is attached (by aminoacyl-tRNA synthetases). tRNAs cope with the degeneracy of the genetic code in two manners: having more than one tRNA (with a specific anti-codon) for a particular amino acid; and 'wobble' base-pairing, i.e. permitting non-standard base-pairing at the 3rd anti-codon position. Lineage: Bacteria; Pseudomonadati; Bacteroidota. The record is from RNAcentral.
GCCCAGGUGGUGAAAUCGGUAGACACGCCAGCUUGAGGGGCUGGUGGCCUUAAGGCCGUGCAAGUUCGAGUCUUGUUCUGGGCACAA